AACGCACAUGGCGCCUUCCAGUAUCCUGGGAGGCAUGCCUGUCCGAGCGUCGUUUCAACCCUCGAGCCCCUGUGGCCCGGCGUUGGGGAUCUGCCACGGCAGGCCCCUAAAACCAGUGGCGGACCCGAUGGGCCCUCUCCUUUACGUAGUAGCAUUCGCCUCGUAUUGGGAGUCCUCGGCGUCCUGCCUCUAAACCCUCCACAAGUCCGCUUCAGCGGCACCAAGGUUGACCUCGGAUCAGGUAGGAAUACCCGCUGAACUUAA
This 264-nucleotide unclassified non-coding RNA is filed under the name uncultured Plectosphaerella. Its description in RNAcentral is "sequence contains ITS2". The record is from RNAcentral. Lineage: Eukaryota; Fungi; Ascomycota; Sordariomycetes; Glomerellales; Plectosphaerellaceae.